RNAcentral lists this ribosomal RNA (1155 nucleotides) under Triticum aestivum (bread wheat). RNAcentral's name for it is "partial small subunit ribosomal RNA". Lineage: Eukaryota; Viridiplantae; Streptophyta; Magnoliopsida; Poales; Poaceae. The record is from RNAcentral.
AUGCCGACGCACGUAGACCACCUGAGCGCUCUCCCCGACGAGGCACUGCAUCGGAUCCUCUCCCACCUCCCUUCCGACGAGGCCACGCGCACCACCUCGCUGUCCCGCUGGUGGCGCCGCGUCUGCGACGGCGUGCCGGUCGUGGACCUCGUCGACCGCAAAACAGAUCGUCAGGGGCCGGGAAUCAGCCUCCCCAUGUGCUUCGACAGCAAGGUGACGGGCGCCAUCUUCUCCAAGGGCCCCACCACGCCGAUCCGUGUCCUCCGGCUGCACGCGCGCCAGCCGCCGGACGACCUGCUCGACGGCUGGAUCGCCACCGCCGCCUCCUCCGGCGCCGAGGAGAUCGACCUCGCGCUGCAGUACCGGCACUACUCCCGCCGCAGGCUCUGCCCCUUCGACUGGUUCGGGAAGGCCGACUUCGGGGAACAGGGGCAGCUACACCACGACGCCGCGCCAGCUCUUCCGGUGCGCACGCUGCGCCGCCUGCGCCUGGCCAACUGGACGCUCGACCUGCCCCCCUGGGGCGUCGUCGUCGCCGCGUCGCUCGAGACGCUCUGCCUGAAGCGGAUCAUGGCGCCGGCCGCGGUGCUGCAGCAGCUGGUCUCGAGCUGCCCGCACCUCGCCGACCUGACGCUCGAGGAGUGCCCGACCGCCACCACGAUCACCGUGUCCAGCGACCGCCUCCGGAGCUUCGCCAUGGUCUGCUGCCACAACGCCCGGCGGGUCGUGCUGCGGACACAGUGCCUGCGGUCCCUACGCUACAAGGGCGGCCUCCCUUCGGACACCAUCCUUGACAUCCCCAACUAUGGCGAAGUGGCGGCGCUGACCAUCGAUAUCUGUGAGGACCUCACAAGCAAAGCACCAAUGGAGGUUGCUCCAGUCUCGGAGCUCAUCAGCCGGUGCAAGAAGCUGACGUACCUUCACCUCAAGCUGCGCCCCUCAAUGGCCUACUACAGCAGCGAGAUCACAGCCAUAGCCCGCGACCACUUACCCCAGCUCCGGCACCUGGUCCUCAAGGGGUUCUUGGCCGCCGAUCACGUCGUCCGGUCCGUCGCCGUCCUCGUCGCCAGCACCCUACACCUGGAAGCGCUGUCCUUGUUUCCUCUGGGCUCCGAGACAUUGAAGAAGACAUACUACUCUGACGAUGAGUACUAA